ACGGAAGGCAGCAGUGAGGAAUAUUGGUCAAUGGGCGGAAGCCUGAACCAGCCAAGUCGCGUGAAGGAUGAAGGUAUUAUGUAUUGUAAACUUCUUUAGCAGCAGAGUAAUAAAGGGGUCGUGACCCCCGAUGCAAGUAUGCUGAAAAUAAGGAUCGGCUAACUCCGUGCCAGCGGCCGCGGUAAUACGGAGGAUCCGAGCGUUAUCCGGAUUUAUUGGGUUUAAAGGGUGCGCAGGCGGUUUUUUAAGUAAGUGGUUAAAUCGUGAGGCUCAACCUCAUCACGCCAUUGAUACUGGAAGACUUGAUUGCGGUUGAGGUUGGCGGAAUUCGUCGUGUAGCGGUGAAAUGCAUAGAUAUGACGAAGAACACCGAUUGCGUAGGCAGCUGACCAAGCCGUAAAUGACGCUCAUGCACGAAAGUGCGGGGAUCGAACAGGAUUAGAUACCCUGGUA
RNAcentral lists this ribosomal RNA (453 nucleotides) under uncultured Porphyromonadaceae bacterium. RNAcentral describes it as "partial 16S ribosomal RNA". It matches the Rfam family "Bacterial small subunit ribosomal RNA", at positions 341 to 792 of the family's 1533-position model. The record is from RNAcentral. Lineage: Bacteria; Pseudomonadati; Bacteroidota; Bacteroidia; Bacteroidales; Porphyromonadaceae.